GACGAACGCUGGCGGCGUGCUUAACACAUGCAAGUCGAACGGAAAGGCCCUGCUUUUGUGGGGUGCUCGAGUGGCGAACGGGUGAGUAACACGUGAGUAACCUGCCCUUGACUUUGGGAUAACUUCAGGAAACUGGGGCUAAUACCGGAUAGGAGCUCCUGCUGCAUGGUGGGGGUUGGAAAGUUUCGGCGGUUGGGGAUGGACUCGCGGCUUAUGAGCUUGUUGGUGGGGUAGUGGCUUACCAAGGCUUUGACGGGUAGCCGGCCUGAGAGGGUGACCGGCCACAAUGGGACUGAGAUACGGCCCAGACGCCUACGGGAGGCAGCAGUGGGGAAUAUGGCACAAUGGGCGGAAGCCUGAUGCAGCAACGCCGCGUGCGGGAUGACGGCCUUCGGGUUGUAAACCGCGUUCGCCUGUGACGAAGCGUGAGUGACGGUAAUGGGUAAAGAAGCACCGGCUAACUACGUG
Molecule: ribosomal RNA, 468 nt
Filed under: uncultured bacterium
Lineage: Bacteria
Description: partial 16S ribosomal RNA
Rfam family: Bacterial small subunit ribosomal RNA
Source: RNAcentral